GAUGAACGCUGGCGGCGUGCCUAAUACAUGCAAGUCGAGCGAACAGACGAGGAGCUUGCUCCUCUGACGUUAGCGGCGGACGGGUGAGUAACACGUGGAUAACCUACCUAUAAGACUGGGAUAACUUCGGGAAACCGGAGCUAAUACCGGAUAAUAUAUUGAACCGCAUGGUUCAAUAGUGAAAGACGGUUUUGCUGUCACUUAUAGAUGGAUCCGCGCCGCAUUAGCUAGUUGGUAAGGUAACGGCUUACCAAGGCAACGAUGCGUAGCCGACCUGAGAGGGUGAUCGGCCACACUUGAACUGAGACACGGUUCAGACUCCUACGGGAGGCAGCAGUAGGGAAUCUUCCGCAAUGGGCGAAAGCUUGACGGAGCAACGCCGCGUGAGUGAUGAAGGUCUUCGGAUCGUAAAACUCUGUUAUUAGGGAAGAACAAAUGUGUAAGUAACUAUGCACGUCUUGACGGUACCUAAUCAGAAAGCCACGGCUAACUACGUG
This 497-nucleotide ribosomal RNA is filed under the name uncultured bacterium. Its description in RNAcentral is "partial 16S ribosomal RNA". It matches the Rfam family "Bacterial small subunit ribosomal RNA", at positions 28 to 507 of the family's 1533-position model. The record is from RNAcentral.